AUGUAUUUUACAUUUGAAACUGUUCAGCGAAUAAUUUCUGACUUUUGUCAAUUUUUUCAGACAUCUAAGAGAGACAUUUACCCUGCCUCUUUUUCAUGUUCAAAAUCCAUUUGCAGACUUCAGAUGGUAAGAAGAAAACAAAUGUACAGCACUAUAAAUAACUAAUGGGAUUCAUGCAUUCAGAGUUGCACUCAGAUUGAUAGUUUUCCAGCAAGGAUCUCUGCUCUCCCCUGCUGAAGUCACCCGGGCCACUGCUAUCAUCUGUGGUAGAAGUAUGACUGACAGCUGUAAUUGGCUGUCACUGUGGUACCUGAGACUGGCUUGCUGUUGUGUACCUUCAGCAAACUUGCAUCAGCAG
RNAcentral lists this long non-coding RNA (358 nucleotides) under Phasianus colchicus (ring-necked pheasant). Its description in RNAcentral is "lncRNA (ENSPCLG00000000193.1)". The record is from RNAcentral. Lineage: Eukaryota; Metazoa; Chordata; Aves; Galliformes; Phasianidae.